UAUACAGUCAUGCUAAAACCCUUAUUAUAAAACUAGGGGAAAUGCAGGGAAAAAGAAGGAAAUGUAUCUCUCUGAGAAUCCUUUCUUUAGGCAGUUGUCUUGUUGGUUGCACCAAUGCUGGUUUUCUUCUGCCACCAGCAUUCCUAGGGUCCAGGAUUGAGGAAUUCCUCACAUACUCUUUUUUACUUCGGAUUCCUCUAGAUUCUUGGAUUCUCCCAGGGGACCCUGCACCCACAUUCCAAUUCCAGGAAGUUUGGGAAAUUGUAAAAUGAAAUUAUUAUGACCCAAAGAGAAAUGAUCUCAAUGAGGAGGGGAAAAAAAGGAAUUAUCUAAAGAUACCAAUGCAGAUGCACAUAGAGAGAAUUCACUAACCAACUUGGAUUUUAAAAGAUUUGUUCAGAAGAUGAAAGCAAGAGAAGGUAAUAGAAGAUGAAUAAAAAAGAAUGAUCCUGCAGGAGAAGUGUUGGGUAUGCUGAAAAGUUCAGAAUUUUCUGAGACUGAUCGCUCACCUGGUCUCCUCCCUGCCCACCCCGGCUGCCUGCUCCUGCUCCUGGCCUCUCUCUUGCUCACCUGGCCCAGCUGAUCCCGGCCCAGCAACCCUGACCUCAGAGCAGACCGCUUAUCACCCCAGGCCCAAGACUCACUUCUACCAGCUGGUAACAAAAACAAAAACAAAAACAAAAAAAACGGGGGUGGAUCACAGAAGAGGGAAAAAAGGGAAAGAGGAAGGAGAUUUUUCCAAACUGGAACUUAUAACCAUGACUGAUUUAAAAGGAUAUCUUUUAACUAUAUUGAUAAUUUCAUCUACCUCACAUGUGAUUCAGGGGAAAAAUUCAGUUCCCUGCAAUUUUGGGGAGGCAGCUGGGUGGUUCAAUGGACUGAGAGCCAGGCAUAGAGACGGGAGGUCCUUGGUUGAAAUCUGGCCUCAGAGACUUCCUAGCGGUGUGGCCCUAGACGGGUCAUUUAACCUCCAUUGCCUAACCAUUACCAAUCUCCUGCCUUCUGACAAUAGGCAUCUAAAUAGAUAAAAACCCAAGGAACUUCAAAGAGACUGGAGAUUAUAUUUUUAAAGC
This 1073-nucleotide long non-coding RNA is filed under the name Monodelphis domestica (gray short-tailed opossum). Its description in RNAcentral is "lncRNA (ENSMODG00000042980.1)". The record is from RNAcentral. Lineage: Eukaryota; Metazoa; Chordata; Mammalia; Didelphimorphia; Didelphidae.